This is a long non-coding RNA of Pygocentrus nattereri (red-bellied piranha), 947 nucleotides long. RefSeq lists it as uncharacterized. The transcript has 4 exons. NCBI's taxonomy places the organism in Eukaryota, Metazoa, Chordata, Actinopteri, Characiformes, Serrasalmidae. The record is from RefSeq and is a predicted model, not a curated record.
UUGCUGCUCAAGCCCCAACAAACUCUUACUCCUUAUUCUACUCAUCCUUGUCUUUGGAGAUUGGAUCCCCCUCUAACUGUGGAGAUACCCUAAGGAACUGGUGAACUGGCUUUUUCACCCUGGCUGUGGCCUGAAUGCCGUCGUCCUCAGUAACUGUUGUAGAACGAGAGCGAUGUUGUAAGAAAUGGGACGUUAUCAUUGACCUUUCAGCAGAGAAAAGGAGGAGAAAGACAGGACGGUGUGUCUGCAGCCCAACAGGUGUGAUGGGAACCAGAGGAUGAGCUGAGCUGAGCUGCAGACCAACUUCAUCCGAGGGACCAGCUUGCAGUCCCCACAAGCAGGAAAGGUUCCCAUGACAUGAGGGUGCGAGCAGGUUUUGGUCCUCAUGAUGUGGCAUAAACGCGAUCCACACUAACUCACACACACAGCGACUUUAAUCUAUUCUGUGUCCACUGCCCCCUGCCUGACCCUGCCUGCUGUUACUGGACCAGAGGGAUGCCCUCUCAACACCUCAGGGAGGAGAGCACAGGGUGGGGUCACUGACCAUGACCUUUGACCUCACACACAGGCAGGGAGAGAACACACCGCACAGUGUGGCACCGACACGAUGAUGCUCGGACAGCUGGACGUCUGCACGUCGACGGUCUGAUAAAAAAGACCACCUACUGAAUUCACCUGACAAAAAUGCCAUAUUUGUAAUAUGGUCACCCAUAUAAACACAUGAAUAUCCAGGACCCGAAGCCGACUGUGAACUCGGAUAGGGGGAAAAAGCUGUGUGCAAAAGUGUUGGCACCCCCGGUUAACUUCCAUGUUGUUAUUGAUUUUUGUUUUUUAAAUGUAAACAGGUUAAUGUCCUCUACAGAGAAUACAUUUAUGUGUACGUAUAUGCACAAUUACUGACUAUUUACUGUUUUUAACAUAUUGAGGGGGGAACAAAAACCCAAAAA